CCCUACUGCUAUCGGGGUGGGACUAAGACAUGCAAGUUGUGCGUCUCUAAGCUAUGGUAGAGACGCAGCGUACGGCUCAGUAAUACGUGGCUAACCUACCCUUAGGACGGGGACAACCCCGGGAAACUGGGGCUAAUACCCGAUAGGUGAGGAGGCCUGGAAUGGUUCCUAGUCGAAAAGGCGUUGAAACCAUGCUUUUCGACGUCGCCUAAGGAUGGGGCCGCGCCCGAUCAGGUUGUUGGUGGGGUAACGGCUCACCAAGCCUAUAACCGGUACGGGCCGUGAGAGCGGGAGCCCGGAGAUGGGCACUGAGACAAGGGCCCAGGCCCUACGGGGCGCAGCAGUCGCGAAAACUCCGCAAUGCGCGAAAGCGUGACGGGGCUAUCCCGAGUGCCGUCCGCUGAGGAUGGCUUUUCCCCGGUGUAAUGAGCCGGGGGAAUAAGGAGAGGGCAAGUCUGGUGUCAGCCGCCGCGGUAAUACCAGCUCUCCGAGUGGUAGGGAUGAUUAUUGGGCUUAAAGCGUCCGUAGCCGGCUUAGCAAGUCUCCUGUUAAAUUCAGCGACCUAAUCGUUGAGCCGCGGGAGAUACUACUAGGCUAGGAGGCGGGAGAAGCCGACGGUAUUCUCGGGGUAGGGGUGAAAUCCUGUAAUCCCGGGAGGACCACCAGUGGCGAAGGCGGUCGGCUAGAACGCGCUCGACGGUGAGGGACGAAAGCUGGGGUAGCGAACCGGAUUAGAAACCCGGAUAGUCCCAGCUGUAAACGAUGCGGGCUAGGUGUUGGGGUGGCUACGGGCCACUUCAGUGCCGCAUGGAAGCAAUUAAGCCCGCCGCCUGGGGAGUACGGCCGCAAGGCUGAAACUUAAAGGAAUUGGCGGGGGAGCACCACAAGGCGUGAAGCUUGCGGUUU
This 906-nucleotide ribosomal RNA is filed under the name uncultured archaeon. Its description in RNAcentral is "bacterial SSU rRNA". It matches the Rfam family "Archaeal small subunit ribosomal RNA", at positions 21 to 903 of the family's 1478-position model. The record is from RNAcentral.